This 73-nucleotide transfer RNA is filed under the name Ailuropoda melanoleuca (giant panda). It matches the Rfam family "tRNA". From Rfam's summary of the family: Transfer RNA (tRNA) molecules are approximately 80 nucleotides in length. Their secondary structure includes four short double-helical elements and three loops (D, anti-codon, and T loops). Lineage: Eukaryota; Metazoa; Chordata; Mammalia; Carnivora; Ursidae. RNAcentral also lists the same sequence under 1 other name. The record is from Rfam by way of RNAcentral.
ACCUGGCUGGCUCAGUCAGUAGAGCAUGUGACUCUUGAUCUCAGGGUUGUAAGUUCAAGCCCCACAUUGGGUG